Caenorhabditis elegans is the source of this 193-nucleotide non-coding RNA. NCBI's taxonomy places the organism in Eukaryota, Metazoa, Nematoda, Chromadorea, Rhabditida, Rhabditidae. The record is from Ensembl.
UGGCCCCUGAAUAACUUUGCUCUUUCUGCGUUUCAUAUGGCAUCUGUGUCACAAGUCCGCCUCUUUCCGUUGCCGGCAGGGCGUACACCCUUUUAAAUUUGUUCGGAUGCGGAGCAGUAGAAGCGAAAUUCGGUGUAUGCGUAUGUGAUGCGGAUGCUACGAACACCAAACCAAAUGCAAUUUGUGCGCGCCU